UUUAAUGUUUGAUGUUCUAACGUGGAUCCGUAAUCCGGGUUGCGGACAGUGUCUGGUGGGUAGUUUGACUGGGGCGGUCUCCUCCUAAAGAGUAACGGAGGAGCACGAAGGUUGGCUAAUCCUGGUCGGACAUCAGGAGGUUAGUGCAAUGGCAUAAGCCAGCUUGACUGCGAGCGUGACGGCGCGAGCAGGUGCGAAAGCAGGUCAUAGUGAUCCGGUGGUUCUGAAUGGAAGGGCCAUCGCUCAACGGAUAAAAGGUACUCCGGGGAUAACAGGCUGAUACCGCCCAAGAGUUCAUAUCGACGGCGGUGUUUGGCACCUCGAUGUCGGCUCAUCACAUCCUGGGGCUGAAGUAGGUCCCAAGGGUAUGGCUGUUCGCCAUUUAAAGUGGUACGCGAGCUGGGUUUAGAACGUCGUGAGACAGUUCGGUCCCUAUCUGCCGUGGGCGCUGGAGAACUGAGGGGGGCUGCUCCUAGUACGAGAGGACCGGAGUGGACGCAUCACUGGUGUUCGGGUUGUCAUGCCAAUGGCACUGCCCGGUAGCUAAAUGCGGAAGAGAUAAGUGCUGAAAGCAUCUAAGCACGAAACUUGCCCCGAG
This 598-nucleotide ribosomal RNA is filed under the name Salmonella enterica subsp. enterica serovar Infantis. RNAcentral's name for it is "partial 23S ribosomal RNA". It matches the Rfam family "Bacterial large subunit ribosomal RNA", at positions 2206 to 2803 of the family's 2925-position model. The record is from RNAcentral. Lineage: Bacteria; Pseudomonadati; Pseudomonadota; Gammaproteobacteria; Enterobacterales; Enterobacteriaceae.